ACAAGCGGUGGAGCAUGUGGUUUAAUUCGACGCAACGCGAAGAACUUACCAGGGCUUGACAUCCCCUGACCGCGUAUGAAGUACGUUUUCACCCUCGGGUGACAGGGAGACAGGUGGUGCAUGGUUGUCGUCAGCUCGUGUCGUGAGAUGUUGGGUUAAGUCCCGCAACGAGCGCAACCCUUAUUGCUAGUUACCAUCAUUAAGUUGGGGACUCUAGCGAGACUGCCAGUGAUAAACUGGAGGAAGGUGGGGAUGACGUCAAAUCAUCAUGCCCCUUAUGACCUGGGCUACAAACGUGAUACAAUGGCUGAAACAAAGGGCAGCGAAGCAGUGAUGUGAAGCGAAACCCAAAAAAGCAGUCUCAGUUCGGAUUGAAGUCUGCAACUCGACUUCAUGAAGUCGGAAUCGCUAGUAAUCGCGAAUCAGAACGUCGCGGUGAAUACGUUCUCGGGGUUU
This 456-nucleotide ribosomal RNA is filed under the name uncultured Acholeplasma sp. RNAcentral's name for it is "bacterial SSU rRNA". It matches the Rfam family "Bacterial small subunit ribosomal RNA", at positions 925 to 1382 of the family's 1533-position model. Lineage: Bacteria; Bacillati; Mycoplasmatota; Mollicutes; Acholeplasmatales; Acholeplasmataceae. The record is from RNAcentral.